UUGACAAACACUUUCGAUUGAAAAAACCAGCAAACAGGGAACAUAAUGGCUAAAAUUUAUUCUUCGGGUUUCUUAAUAUAUUCAAUCGUUAUCAUGGUUUGUGUAUAUUUUCCCAACGCAAAGACGCAGUCUAUAUACCAUUCCCACGAAUAUUACUACAAUUUUGAAGAAAGGAUUUCGAAACUGGAAGAUGAACUGAUCAGAUUGCGGCGUGAGAUUGAAAAACCAUCAGUGGGAGACCGCUGUUCCUCUAACGUCAAUUGUCCAGAUAACGCUGUUUGUGACAGAGGGACGUGUGUGUGUAGUGGAACGUAUCUAGCCAGCGGAAAAGUUUGUCACAAUGGUUUGUAGUAUUCACAUAAUAACCCGUGAAGUGGCGGAUCUGUUGGAGGUGUUAGGGGGUUGCAACUUUGCAAAACCACUUUGACUUUUUGUAAAGAUAAAGACCCUUUUGCCCUUUUGGGGUUUUCGACCCACCCACGCCACAUUCUUGAUAAAUCCCCCCCCCCGUUUGAAUUUCUGUGGAUCCGCCAAUAACCCGUGCAUCCAACAUGUAAAGCUCUGUCAUAAUUUCCUCUUAUCUUUCACAAUGUAUUCCUACGCCAAGUGACGCCUUGAAAUAAAAAAUAUGCUAGAGUUCCUCAUUGACAAUAUCUUCGGGGUCUUUGGUGAUCAGGUCUUCUAACAGUCUGUUGGAAUUCCCAUGGGCACGAAUUGUGCUCCUUUGUUAGCUGACCUCUUUCUAUAUUCAUAUGAAGCAGAAUUUAUUCAAAAACGUCUACCUGAGAAGAAAAAAAAUCUCUCAUUGGGGCCUUCAAUUCGACAUUUCGAUAUAUCGAUGACCUUUUGUCUAUUAACAAUAAUAACUUUCAUUCAUAUGUCUCAACUGAUUUGAUACCCAAGAGCUUGUUCUGCGUAUAGUCAAGUUUUAAAUCGAGGCAACCUACUGAGAAACAAGUUGAUGGUACAGGGAUUUCAACAGUCUCGAUUGAAGUCAGCAUUUCGGAAAUUAUAUGGUCGUUAUAACGAUCUAGUUCGUCAAUACAACCUAUCAUUUGGGUCAAAUGCUGUCUGACAUGUUUCAUACCGAUUGUUAGGCCGUUCUUGGCACACUGAUUUUGACUACGAAUAUAGGGAUCACGAUGGGUGUGACCGGUCGACAGGGGAUGUUUACUCCUCCUAGGCACCUGAUCCCACCUCUGGUGUGUCCAAGCGUCCGUGUUUGCCCAACUAUCUAUUUUUAUUGCUUUUAGGAGUUAUGAGAUUGAUCACUGUUCGUUAUCUUCACCUUUCUUUUAGCAACAGACCGAGGAAACGUCGAUCGAGAAAACCGCCAUCUUGGUUCUAUGCAUAGCCGAAUCGUGUACUUUAUUAAUCAAAUUUGAAAACGUGCGGUGGUGUUUUCAACGAAUCCUGAUAAUAGAAGAUGUGUGUAUAUAUGUUUAAGAUGCUUCAACACAAAGUACCGAUAUAUUGUUUAUAAUUCUAAUCCCGACAUCACACAAAAUACGUCAUGUAUCAGAAAAUGCUACACGAAAUGCGGUUUCUCGAUUUGAUAUAAGUUUUAAACUAAAUUAUAGAGUAUCACUACAUAUGCAGCAUUGUCGCCUAUUAAACCCGACACAGUAAAAUGUAAACAAUUCACAGAAUGUUAUCCACAUGUCAUCAAUUUGGUGUGACGUCAUCUAUUAUAUGUACAUUUUGUAAUACACGACGCAUCAUAUGCUUUGAUAGGCGAAUCAAAUAAUCCCCCAAGUGAAAAUAUAAUUCGUAAUGAAACAGAAAAAUUGCAAGUAUUUAUUAUACCAUUAUUUUGCAAAUGAUACCGUUGUAUCAGAAUUAGUAUACGACGAGUUUUUAUCAUUCAUGUUUUGUGUAGUUAUAAGGAAAAAAAAUUGUACCCUUUGUUUAACAUCGAUAAAAAUGUGAAGCAAAGGAAUUUUGUUCUGCGCGGUUUGUUCUAGUAGUAGUUUUAUUCAGGCAGAACACUCAUUUUAGUAUAAAACAUCAUUAAAAUAUAAAUGCAUUGUAAAUAAAUGCACAUGUCAAUUGUAUAAAACUUAGCAUGCCAGAUGUUUUCACAGUCAUUUUAUCACAGUAUUGUCAUCACAAACAAGAUUUUAUUACAGUUGCAUUAUAUCACAGUCUACCUAGGAUAACCCAUUAAAGCAAAUAUAUUAUUGUUUAUAUCCAAUGAGGUCCUUGGGAUUUGAAAAUAUAUAUAUUUCCAUAAAUAAAUAAAUGCAUUACAGGAAAGCAAUGUGUAAAUAUUUUGUUAAUAGGGUCUGUAAGUUUCGUCAUGUGAUUGCCGAUAUUUAGCGAGCUUAUUAACUUCCGCGUACAUCAACUUUUCAGAUUGCACUGUGUAGAGAGUGGUAUACAUAGAUAUAGCGUUAUCAAUCGAUUAUGUGAAGGUUUUAACGAGAUAAACAUGGAAUUGAAGCAUUAGUGGAGUCGUCGAGGAUUUUUCGCUUCGUGUUUGACGAAUUACGUGUAGUAACCGCCAGUGUACAAGCGUCGAUGAGGGUUCGUCUUGCAGAUAAAGUGCAGGUUGGUAUAAGCGUAAUCUAUGAACUAGAGAGAUGUACGGUACGUUUUUAUAUUCUCAAAUCAUUUCAAUUGAAAAUAUAUUUUCACUUGAAAAUAAAAAUGGAUUAUGCAUAAAUCAUGCUUUGUGUUUAUACGAACAUAUUGGGGAAGGGGGAGGGAAACGAUACUACAUGUACGUACCUGCAGUAUACAGUUGUAUAUUUAAUAAACAAAGUGCAUUAAAUAGGCCUAUCUCUAUCAGUUACAUCACAGAAGGGUUAAAAUUGUUUACUAUUUAAUUAUUUUAUAUAUAUGCCUUGAAUCUGAAGAUAAAGGUGUUGUGCAGUCAUCAUCAAUGUGGAUAUCUGAUGCCAGUAUACCCAUAAUGGAGCAGUAUAAGUGUCGAUUGUCAUAUGACAGCAAGUUUUCAAAGGCUGGUACACAAUUCAAAGAUAAAAAUAAUGUCAAUACAUGUUUGAAUUUAUAUCUAUUAUGAUUAUAUUAUACCCAAAGUAGGUAAUAAAUGGGUUCGAACUGUGAAGAUAAAAAUCUUACAUGUAGAUUAUAUUGGAAAUUUUCAGACAUAAGAAGGCAAAUAAAACUGAUGUCAAAUACGUUAGUAGGUGGAUAAAACAUCCAAAGUCGGCAUUGUCAAAGGUCACAAUAAUAAUGGAGGAAUUGACUGUAUCCUCAUUCCUCAGGGUAACAAGCCAUUGUCAGCAACCCCUGAAAUUCUUAAUUGAGGCUAAGUACCCAUUUUCAGCUUGAACAAUGACAGUUAGAGGGCCUGCGCAAAUGUUGGGAUUUUCCUCUUGAAUGCGAUGCAAGGGGUGGUUCGCUGCACCUCAAAACAAAAUAUGAAUAUUGGCAUCAAAUUCAAGGACAACAACACCUGAAGGACACCCAAUGCUGUGAUUUGCUAGUGUGGAUUCCCAGUGACACUCAAAUAGUUCACAUUGACAUUGAUGUAUUAUGGUCAACAAACAUAUUAAGUGUGAUAGAGUUUAAUAAUAAAGUAUUUUUUGCGGUCUGAAAUACACACAUAACCACAUGUACAUAUACUUUAUUAUGAUAUCAGUGGUGCAUCUAUCAAAGUUAUGUAAUUAUAUGUAUACUAUUGAAAAAAACAUUAUAGACAAAGUUUUUUUUAUUCUAGAUGAACCAAAAUAUGUAUAGACACAGAAUUCAGCUUUACAGAAAUCAUUAAAUUACAUGCAUUUACUAAAAACAA
Long non-coding RNA from Ostrea edulis (European flat oyster), 3760 nucleotides. RefSeq lists it as uncharacterized. The transcript is spliced from 3 exons. The record is from RefSeq and is a predicted model, not a curated record. Lineage: Eukaryota; Metazoa; Mollusca; Bivalvia; Ostreida; Ostreidae.